RNAcentral lists this ribosomal RNA (195 nucleotides) under uncultured bacterium. RNAcentral's name for it is "partial 16S ribosomal RNA". It matches the Rfam family "Bacterial small subunit ribosomal RNA", at positions 338 to 524 of the family's 1533-position model. The record is from RNAcentral.
CCUACGGGAGGCAGCAGUGAGGAAUAUUGGGCAAUGGGCGAAAGCCUGACCCAGCCACGCCGCGUGAGUGAUGAAGGCCUUCGGGUCGUAAAGCUCUGUGGGGAGGGACGAACAAGUGCGUACCUAAUACGUACGUGCCCUGACGGUACCUCCUUAGCAAGCACCGGCUAACCAUGUGCCAGCAGCCGCGGUAAU